UUUCCGUAGGUGAACCUGCGGAAGGAUCAUUAUUGAGCUGGCCCCUCCAUCGGGGCCCAUCUCUCCUUCUUUCACACCGUGCACACGUCUCUUCACACGCAACCUCAGGAUCGCAUGUUCCAAUACAGCUUACACUGUACACUAUAAUCAUAAUAAACUUUCAGCAACGGAUCUCUUGGCUCUC
RNAcentral lists this unclassified non-coding RNA (184 nucleotides) under plant metagenome. RNAcentral's name for it is "partial contains small subunit ribosomal RNA, internal transcribed spacer 1, and 5.8S ribosomal RNA". The record is from RNAcentral.